RNAcentral lists this long non-coding RNA (1221 nucleotides) under Crocodylus porosus (Australian saltwater crocodile). RNAcentral's name for it is "lncRNA (ENSCPRG00005000745.1)". The record is from RNAcentral. Lineage: Eukaryota; Metazoa; Chordata; Crocodylia; Crocodylidae.
AUGGGCCGCUUGGAUGACCAUGCCAAGAAGCGGAUUGUAGAGCUGCGCAAAGCUGGGCUGAGCUUCCGCAAAAUCAAAAAGGUCCUGGAGCUGGACAACAUCCGAGUGACCCCCCAAGCCGUCUACCUCUUCCUGAAGCGAAAGAAUGUGGAGCCUGCCCAGUCCCCAACUGCCUCCCACCCCCAGCCAGCCGUGGGCCGGGGGAACAGGACAAUGACCAUCAAUGGAUCUGGCUGGGAGGAUGAACAGCUCUGGAACUUGCUGCAGGAAAAUGAGACUGAACAGAGCAAGCAGCUGGAGCCGGUGGGCAGUAGGCAGUCGGGUCCCAGGUCCCCAGUGCCCCCUGGAGGAACUGUUGUGAGCUGUGAGAGGCUCUCCAUCCGUGACAACCAGGACAGCAAGGAAGGCAUCAAAAUUGUCAGUGUGACUUCACUGUGCAAGGACAGUGGGCAGUUUGGGAAUGUGUCUGCUGCACCAAUGGGACCCUCUCCAGGGUCACAGCUGACCCCCAGUAACAUCAAUGCAGGUGAUGACUGCUCUGUGACUCAACCCUCUCCUUUGAGCAGCCGCUCAGCUCUGCUUCCACCGGCAUCCUCCCAGCACCAGUUGAACAACAGGGGGAAAAUAUUUCUGCCCCCUGCCAGGAACCCAGCCUUAAUUGUGAAGAAGAAGAUUGUAGAUAGAGCCAUCCACCUCCAGAAAAAGGUGAACAUUCAGAACGGGCAGAAUCCAUCUGGCUCUACAAGUGUCCUGCCUUUUGUGGUAGGAGUGCAGCCAGGCAGCCAGCCUCCCAGAAUGAACCCAGCUACCAUGGCAGCUUCCACGAACCACCACACACAGGUCAAAGAUGCCAGCACUCAAACUGUCCCGCUCAGUGGUACUAGUCCUCUGGGCAGUCAGAACUCAGUGUGGGGAGGGCAGAUGCUUGCCAUCUCCCAGAACCCUCUUGCCAUUGUCGAGAAGCUGGAUGCACUACAUUCAGAGAUCCAGAAACUGACUCACACCAUGCAGGCUGUGCUAGAGAGGCAGUGCAGCAUGGAGCGCCAGCAGGACCAGCAGCAGCGUUUCCAGCAAGAAGUGCUUAUGAUGCUUCAGCAGCUCAGCUCCACAGUCAGCCACGGAGCAGUGCCAGGAAACCAGCCCUGUGUCCCUUUCAGCAGCAUGGCAGAUCCUUCACCCACUGUACCAAACUUCAGCCAGUUCAAGAUGGAGAUCAUCUAA